This is a long non-coding RNA of Temnothorax curvispinosus, 1065 nucleotides long. RefSeq lists it as uncharacterized. The transcript is spliced from 3 exons. The record is from RefSeq and is a predicted model, not a curated record. Lineage: Eukaryota; Metazoa; Arthropoda; Insecta; Hymenoptera; Formicidae.
CUAGAUAAACAAAAUAUAUGCGUACUUCCACGAACUAUCUCACCAAAGUAUUUAAAAAUAGGACAUCCAAAUUUGAUAUUUAUAUCGUCGAAUUUACUUGGCACAGUUACAUCUUAUCAAAUUAAAUUGCUCGCUCAACAGAUCUCAAACAUGUGUUCAGAAUAUUCUGUCACAAAUGUAAAUUAUAACCAUGGGUUGAAAAUAAGAGUUUAGGUAUGUUUUCCUUUUACAAAAUUAUAAACGAAUGCCGAUGAUUGAUGCGAAAACGAAGGAAUAUUUAGGAACAGAAAUAAAACGCAAAUUGAUGAAAGGUAAAGUAUAUUAACUUUGAUUAAUACUCACACACAUACACACACUGUGUUAUUUCUGAAAUUGUAUUAUAGUUUAAAAAAUAUUAGCAUAUACUGGUGAAUUAGAAAGUUUAGUAUACCCAUCAACUUGGACAAGGUUUGCCUUAACGAAUACGUAAAAUAUGUUCUUUAUGAAACAGAAACUCUAUAUUUGGAAGAGUUACAACAGAAAGUAGAAGGACCGUCAGUAUUCGAAUUAUUUCGGAAAACAUAUUUUUUUAUUGUAAAAACAAAAGUAUACAAACUCAAAAUUGGAAAGAAGAUGUGACAACUUGCUUUGAUGAAGAAAUUGAGGUUCCGUUAGAUGCGUUUGGGUAUCAAAAAUCGAUACGAACCCAUAGUUGAUGUUGCCUCUACUUAUAAUGUCAUGCACUCUAUUUUCUACGCCAAAGUAUAUAUAUACUUUACGUAUUCCAUAUUUAAAGAUUUAUACGACUGGGAAGAAAAGCAUCUAAUAACGACCGAAAUAUAUAUAGAUGCUACAAAACAAUGUUCUCUCAUGAAACACGGGAAAAAAUAAAUUCAAUUCUGCAUCUAAAUUGACACACAUCAACAUAACGUACCAAAUCACCUUUCUUAUUUAUAAAGUAAUAAGUCAAUAUGAACUAACAUACAAGGUCUAAAGAUUGAAAACGAGUUGGUGCGCAACAAAAUAUGAUGACAAUUCUUAUUCACCAAAAAUAUUUAAAUUUGUGAAAAAAAUUAAUUAUCGGGA